GACGAACGCUGGCGGCGUGCUUAGCACAUGCAAGUCGAACGGAAAGGCCCUGCUUUUGUGGGGUGCUCGAGUGGCGAACGGGUGAGUAACACGUGAGUAACCUGCCCUUGACUUUGGGAUAACUUCAGGAAACUGGGGCUAAUACCGGAUAGGAGCUCCUGCUGCAUGGUGGGGGUUGGAAGUUUCGGCGGUUGGGGAUGGACUCGCGGCUUAUCAGCUUGUUGGUGGGGUAGUGGCUUACCAAGGCUUUGACGGGUAGCCGGCCUGAGAGGGUGACCGGCCACAUUGGGACUGAGAUACGGCCCAGACUCCUACGGGAGGCAGCAGUGGGGAAUAUUGCACAAUGGGCGGAAGCCUGAUGCAGCAACGCCGCGUGCGGGAUGACGGCCUUCGGGUUGUAAACCGCUUUCGCCUGUGACGAAGCGUGAGUGACGGUAAUGGGUAAAGAAGCACCGGCUAACUACGUG
Molecule: ribosomal RNA, 467 nt
Filed under: uncultured bacterium
Lineage: Bacteria
Description: partial 16S ribosomal RNA
Rfam family: Bacterial small subunit ribosomal RNA
Source: RNAcentral